UGUGUGUGUGUGUAUGUUGUUUUGUUUAUCCCAGUAGCAAGCCUCACUGAUAGAGCGCGCACAGAUGAGUUUUUCUCUCAAGACGUGACACAUUUCAUUUGGACUUAUUUCUUCAAAGAAAUCUGUGUUGCAAAAGUGAAGGGUCCAAAAUAACCUCACAAUUGAAAGGCUGUUCAUACCAUUUCAAGAAAACACCAGCAGCAAUUGUGCAACUCCACCAAGAGCUCACAAAGGAAAAAAGAAUGGAAGGAACGAGAACUCUUUGUCUGCUUCUCAUGCCGUUACUCUGUGACACCAAUGCAAACCUUUCACUUCCUGCAAUGGAGCCCAACCAAACUAACUAUGGUCCUACAAACUUUUUUGAUAAGCGCAACAAUGGCACACGAGCGGACUGCUUGGUUGAUGCGGAGAUGGGUCUGAUUGCUAUAGGUACAGCAGGGGGUCUGAUUGUGUGCCUACUGGUAUCUACUGUAGUACUGGCAUGCCAAAUCUGCCACAUUCGGCGCCAGGUUUAUGCUCCACGAAACUCCCACUCAAACAUGUACUUGGUAAGUAGUACAGACUACUGGGACACUAGCCCGCCAGAGAUUGGAGGACUGGUAGGGCCUUGUGAAACCAGUGUCAUGCUAGACGAGGUGAGCGCGGACAACAUGACAGAGGAUGAAAACCAAGCCGAAAAAGACAAGCAAGAUGAGGGGCCUCGGGUGGAAACUGAUCGCGGGGCUUCUGCUGCUGCUUUGAACCUUGAAGAUAGGGAAGGUCAGAUGCUGAGCUCAAGCUCAAAAGACUCUUGUUUAGAAAAUCCGAAAGAUCUUGAGGACAUGCCGCUUGUUGUGUGACACAGUCGACAUAGUCUGGUGAAACACCACUGAAGAUGACAGCAGCAAUUCCGUUAAGGAGCAAUGUAACAAGGUGUUGUUCUGUUCCCCUGAAGAUAACAAGAAGAAAACACCUAUCAUGGCCUAAACCAGUCGUCACCAACCUUUUUGAGCCGACAUGUCCUAUUGUAAUUUACCAAUGCAUAAAACUAAGGCAGGCACAACAUCAAAUUAAAAGCUCAAGUUCAAAAUUCUACACAUCACCUACAGUAUUCCAGGGGAAGAGUGGCCACUAACAACCUAUUUUUAUGCAGGACAGUCUUUCACCAGCCACGCCCGGAAACAACAACAACAACAACCCUAUUGUGAGCAUUCCGAGGGGACAUACCCUCCAGAGAUAUAAACAGGGAACCCCACAUUUAAGAUAUUCAGAACUGAAGAAGCCUUUUGGAUUAAAGGUGAAACGUCUUCAGCAAACAAGAAGAGUCCAGGUACCUUGAGUCAACCUUUGUGAAGUACCACAAUGUGGAUGACUGAGAAUCGACACAGACUUUUACAUAUGAGAAGACAAUGAGACUUUUUAUAAUUGCAGGGGACAUGUCCACAAAUUCACAGUCCAACAGCACGCCAAACAAACCUUAAACAGUAAUGACCUCUUCUCAGCCAGAACACGACUAUUCUAAGAUCAGGGACCUAUAGUCACUUAAUACUUUGUAGUGAAAAACAUUUGGUGAAAAUGUGGUUAAUUAACAGAAAGAAUAGCGAGUCUUGUUUUCCUUUUCCUCUUUUUCCCCAUGUGACUCAAGACCAAAUUUGAAACGCUAAUGUGUGCUAAUAACCCAUGCAGUGGAACCCCGGUUAGCGUGCGCCCCAGCUACCAUGCUUUACGGUUAACAUUUUAUGCCAUAACUUUGACUUGGUUUGCGUAUAUUUUCCUGUUAGCGUUCAGUAUAGCUGUGUUUACAUUUUCACGUAUUUUGCCUCCGCGUUGUCCUGCAAUUUGCCGUCGCAAUGCGUGCAAUUUAUUUAUGGCACUCCUGAAAAGCGCGACUAGUUUGCGCACCGUUUGCAUACCGUUUACGCAUAAAUUACACACUUAGCACGUAAUCCGUGACCAAAAAUUGUGCCCUGUAGCAAGUAAUGACAACGCUCCCACACGAUUUAUUUACACCUUGUCAAGUACUGUUUACAUCUAGUAAAUGACAACAGUACGUGCGGCGCGCAUUGUUCCCACAUGGGUCACCACCACUUCCCGCAUCCAUAACUAUAUAAAUGUGUUUUGUGUUAACACUUGACUUAUGGAAUGGAUUAAUGACACUAACCGCGGUUCCACUGUGUAUCAUAUAUUAAACUGUUUUCUGGUGAACUUUGCACUACCAUUUAAUGUCAUUUUCUAACCGCCUAUAAUUAGAUAUUCCUUGUGUUCACAAGAUUAACUUAAUUAGGGGCUGUACACUGCAACAUUUUUAAUGUUUUAAAUAAAAGUAUUUGUAAUUUGUGAGUGUGAUUGCGAUUGUGUUUAAAAUCAAAGACUUCUUUAACUCAUUCAAUACCAAAGAUGUAUUUAUACGUUUUUAGAAUCCCAAACGCCCAAUCCCAACAACGUAUAGAUACAUCUGUUGCGUUAUUU
Dunckerocampus dactyliophorus (ringed pipefish) is the source of this 2448-nucleotide long non-coding RNA. RefSeq lists it as uncharacterized. The record is from RefSeq and is a predicted model, not a curated record. NCBI's taxonomy places the organism in Eukaryota, Metazoa, Chordata, Actinopteri, Syngnathiformes, Syngnathidae. The transcript has 3 exons.